GCGCUGCUUUUUAUUCCUUCCUCAGCAUUUUGACUAAAAACGAAAAGGAAAUGGAGCUCAGGGUCCCUGUUCACAGCCUGAGCAACUCCUCAUUACCUUCGCUAACCAAACCAAAGGUGAGAAUUUCUCAGAGAAAACUAGUGCCUGUACGGAUUACCUACCCAAUCUUAUCUUCAACUCCUAUUCGAAUGGAAUCCCAAUCGCCUCUCCGCGCCACCCCAACCGAAGACCAUCGCUCCACAGUAACCUCGUCUUCGCCCAUCGAAUCCGGAGCAAGACAAGGUCGAAUCGGAGAAGUGAAGAGAGUCACCAGGGAAACUAAUGUCUCGGUGAAGAUAAACUUGGACGGUACAGGAAUUGCUGAUUCUAGUACUGGAAUUCCAUUUCUCGAUCACAUGUUAGAUCAACUUGCUUCGCAUGGGCUGUUUGAUGUUCAUGUGAGGGCAACUGGGGACAUUCACAUCGAUGAUCAUCACACUAACGAAGAUGUUGCUCUUGCUAUAGGAACGGCAUUGCUGCAGGCUCUUGGUGACAGGAAAGGAAUUAAUCGGUUUGGUGACUUCUCAGCCCCUCUUGAUGAGGCAUUGAUACAUGUUUCAUUGGAUUUGUCUGGGCGGCCACAUUUGAGUUAUGAUUUGGAAAUUCCCACUCAGAGAGUUGGUACAUAUGACACUCAGUUGGUGGAGCACUUUUUCCAGUCUUUAGUGAAUACUUCCGGUAUGACACUUCACAUUCGGCAGCUUGCUGGAAGAAAUUCUCAUCAUAUUAUUGAAGCAACCUUCAAAGCAUUUGCUAGAGCUCUUCGGCAAGCAACUGAAUAUGAUCCACGUCGCCUUGGGACUGUGCCAAGUUCAAAAGGGGUGCUGUCACGAGCCUGAUGCUGCUUGAUUAUCAUGCAAUGGAUGGUUUAGGAUGGCCUUCAGGUGUUGCUAGCAGUGAAUAUAUUUUAUUCAUGCAUUCACCAGUGAGAUGCAUUUUGGUGAUCUCUUAUAGUGCACUUGAGACAAUCAGUUGAGCUACAUUACAAUGGAUAGUUUGUCGUUGUAUAUCAUAGUUCUGCUGAAGACUGUCUAAUUUGGGCAACACUUGGAAGCUAUAAAGGAUGCAGUGCUUCUAUGACUAGUUUGUGUCUUGUGAACAUGAAGAAAUCAAAUAAUACGGUAUUCAAACACGUAUAGAAAGGCUUAUCCGACCAUCCGUCAACAAUAAUUGCUCUUCAAUUAUGAGAAACUAACUAGUUGGAACCUGUCGAUUAUUGAAACUUUCUUGAUAGGUGGCCGCUGGCCAAUGCAGAAACAUGGUGAACCAGCUGUGUUACUAUUUUCUGAUACCCAUUGACAUAAAAGUGCUUGGAUUGCAUGAAAUUUAUGACUAUGAUUCUAUAUUCCUGUAAAAUUCAUGCAAUCCAAGCACUUUUAUGUCAA
Molecule: unclassified non-coding RNA, 1424 nt
Filed under: Hevea brasiliensis (rubber tree)
Lineage: Eukaryota; Viridiplantae; Streptophyta; Magnoliopsida; Malpighiales; Euphorbiaceae
Source: RNAcentral